RNAcentral lists this ribosomal RNA (465 nucleotides) under uncultured bacterium. RNAcentral describes it as "partial 16S ribosomal RNA". It matches the Rfam family "Bacterial small subunit ribosomal RNA", at positions 28 to 507 of the family's 1533-position model. The record is from RNAcentral.
GAUGAACGCUGGCGGCGUGCUUAACACAUGCAAGUCGAACGGAAAGGCUCCUGCUUGCCGGGGUACUCGAGUGGCGAACGGGUGAGUAACACGUGGGUGAUCUGCCCUGCACUUCGGGAUAAGCCUGGGAAACUGGGGCUAAUACCGGAUAGGACCACAUUUUGGAUGGUGUGGUGGAAAGUUUUUCGGUGUGGGAUGGGCUCGCGGCCUAUCAGCUUGUUGGUGGGGUAAUGGCAUACCAAGGCGUCGACGGGUAGCCGGCCUGAGAGGGUGUACGGCCACAUUGGGACUGAGAUACGGCCCAGACUCCUACGGGAGGCAGCAGUGGGGAAUAUUGCACAAUGGGCGCAAGCCUGAUGCAGCGACGCCGCGUGGGGGAUGACGGCCUUCGGGUUGUAAACUCCUUUCGCUAGGGACGAAGCGCAAGUGACGGUACCUGGAGAAGAAGCACCGGCUAACUACGUG